Molecule: long non-coding RNA, 2938 nt
Organism: Rosa rugosa (rugosa rose)
Lineage: Eukaryota; Viridiplantae; Streptophyta; Magnoliopsida; Rosales; Rosaceae
Exons: 3
Source: RefSeq, a predicted model, not a curated record
CACUAGAACUCCAGAAGGUUCAGGUUUUUUCGCUCUGUCUCUUCUCCUUAUCAACUUGACAGUGGUGCAGAUAUUUAGCAACUGGAGGGUUUGAUUAGAUACGCGGCAAGGAUUGAUUUCUGUGGCAAAGGGAUUGAUUUCCGUCUCAAAUCAAUAUUGAGCUUCCUCGAAGAGAGACAAAGCUCGAGCUUUCUGGAGAUGACGAUCUUCUUCAUUUUAAGAGAAUUAAGAUUGGGUAUCUGCACCUUAGGAUUCUUAGCAACAUCGGCUUCUCAAAUUUGUUAGAUCAUGCCGAAGAGAUUUGUAUAAUCUCAAGUCUAGGUACCCCAUGAUCUUCAUAGCUCUUACUUUAGAUGGAAUAGUUCAGAUUGAAUAGAAAUAGUAUUUGAAGGAAUGACCUAAGAAUUACAACCUUGCACUCAUCUUUUGCCAAUUUACAUGUUGGCAUUCAUUGUGAUAUAUAAAUAAAUUAGUUGAUUCUUUUCAUCUUCGGGGAGCCGCUAUCACCAUCUAGAUUCACUGUUAGUCAAAGUCAACCUCAACGAUCAAAAUCAAGAACAGUAAAAGCUUGGUAAGAUUUCAACUAAGCAAAAUCAAGAUGAAUAUCAUAGUUGUUCAUCUUUUGUUCAUAUACCCAAAGUGAUUACCUUUAAUUCACUUUUCGUUUUCAUGUUUUCAGUUGUAGUAACUGAUUUAUCAGCUUUUAUAAUCUUUCAAGACAAAACCUUUUAUUGUUUCUUUGUUUUGUUAAUCGAAGUUCAUAGUUCAUAUAUGAAAUUUCGUUUUUUUUGUGUAGCCUCUGUUCUAGAUUUUGAAUAAUUGCAAGAACAACAGGUUUUUUUAACGCUGUUAGACAGAAAGAGUAAAGUAAAACAAAUGAAAGAGAUCUGGUUCUUAAUCUGAUUUUGGGCAGCCAAUCAUAGAAUCAAUCAUACGGUUAUUUCACUAAUGUUGAAAGAUUUUAGUUUUCGUUAUCCUGUAUGGAAUGAAUACAGGGGAAAAUACCUUCGUCAUUGCAUAUUUUAUCUUUCUCAGGAUUCAAAAGAGAAACGUUUUUUGGUCGAGCUUUUGUGUAAAAGUAGUUAAAUUCACAGAAAAUUGAAAGCAAAUGGUUUGAUUUUCUGUUGCAAAGAAAUUUAUAGUGGAAUUCGACUUCGUAUUGAUGCUUUGAACUGUGAUUUUGGAGGUUAGUGUGUCUGUGCUUAAAGGAAGCAACUUCUUUGCUGUUUGAGUGAAUUAGAAUUUGGGUAAGUUGCUAUGUGUAAUCAUAGUGCAUUAUGUUUUCACUAUUGAACUACAUACUACAAAUUGAAUUUAAAUGUAUAUUUGGACUGUUUUUUAACAGUUAAAUUCUGUGAAAUUCUAGGAUAAGAUCAGUUCUAAAUUCUUCUAUAUCAUGAAUGUAUGUAGAGAUUGUUCCCUACCCAUUCCACUUCAAUUUUCACCUUUUUCUGCUAUUGUUUUAUUAACUUUUGUGUAGUUCAGUUUUGUUUGAAUCAAUUUUAUGCAUCUCUGAUUAUUGGAAACGUUGAAAUUCAAAAAGUAUAAACCAUGUGUUUCACAAUUGCAGCAACCAAAAGAAUCAUUAGUUUUCUUCCUAACCAAAUUUUAACUGAAAUGGAACAGUUUAACCAGUGAUUAAUAUUGUUUCAAAAUUAUUGGUCUGUGUUUACGGUAUUGUAAUUAAGAAUUAGGUGAGAGCCAGUGAACCCAGCCAUGCUAAUAUUUCCACUUUCUUUCGUCUCUGUCUCUUUUUAACUCAAUGAAUUUGUGUUUUGGUGUGUGGAGCUAUUAAUUCCUUCAUUGCUAAACUGAUGGCUUAUGAUCUGAUCGUUUACAUAUUAUUAGCCCAUGUGUUUAUCUUGCAAAGUUGGAAAAAUGUGUUUACGUCAAUACUCAGGUCAUUAGAUUUUAUGAUUAUGCAUCCUUUGGUAAAGUAAAAGAAAUGUCAACAAUUAAUGUCACGAGGACCUUUUUUAACUUCUGUUUGAGAACAUGGGUACAUUUGUACAAGUAUUCAUUUAUGCUCAUAUUGAUUUAUAUCAGUUUCACGGACAUGAGCUUCUGCAAACUUAGAUUCUCUAUAAUUGACGGUUCAUACAUAACACUUGAUACUUGAUACUUAAUACUUGAUUAUCUAUAUGCCAAGACAUUCAUGUAGGGUUCCAAUAUUUUAUAUAUAACUAGGAUGAGAAGGAUGAACAAUUAUAUACCCAAUUUCCUGCAACAAACUUUGAGGGCUAAAACUGAUGAAACUAAAGAACGGCACUAAGCAAGUCUUCAAUGUUAAAGGAAUCUUUCCGGAUACAUGGCGAUUCGCUCCCAGACAAGAAGACCAACCUUCAAGCUCCACAGCAAGCCAGGUCUCACCCACAAAAAAGAGACAUUCGGACACAUAUAGCAGGCCACUCUUCAAAUCGCCAUCACCAUUACCAUCAAACAAAUUUCCAAAAAGUGCCAACAACUCAGUUGAGACUUCCAAGCAACUGUCAGCUUUUGCAAACGAUGAAUCUAACAUUUUAUAAUCAGCUGAUAGUUCGUCUUAACAGCAAUCAUAUUGCCAACUCUGACCAUUUUUUGUAAGAUAUACCUAUUUUUAGCGCAUUGAAGAAGUAGAUCGGAGAUUGAGCCAGAAAAAACCAUUACCGUGUCUGAGAUGCUUACAGAGAUAGCGUAGUGUAGAGAAUACCUGGGAUGAUCAGUCCACUCCCAUUCAAUAACUUCAAAGGACAUCAUCAACUAUUUUUUGCAAACUACCACAACAUCUGUACCGGUGGUGAUGUUACUAGGACAUGAUCUACUUCAACUUUUGUUAUAAAACAAGACUCAAUCUUUUGUUAAUAUAAUGAUCAUAUCAACUAUAUUUUUUAUGCUUUUAAAUUUAGUCCUUAAAUAACAUUUUGUUAGUUCCAAAACCCGCGGCAAAGCGCGGGCACAA